This 433-nucleotide ribosomal RNA is filed under the name uncultured bacterium. RNAcentral describes it as "partial 16S ribosomal RNA". It matches the Rfam family "Bacterial small subunit ribosomal RNA", at positions 29 to 507 of the family's 1533-position model. The record is from RNAcentral.
AACGAACGCUGGCGGCAUGCCUAACACAUGCCAGUCGAACGAGACCUUCGGGUCUAGUGGCGCACGGGUGCGUAACGCGUGGGAACCUGCCCUUAGGUUCGGAAUAACUCCCCGAAAGGGGUGCUAAUACCGGAUAAUGUCUUCGGACCAAAGAUUUAUCGCCUUUGGAUGGGCCCGCGUGGGAUUAGCUAGUUGGUAGGGUAAAAGCCUACCAAGGCGACGAUCCAUAGCUGGUCUGAGAGGAUGAUCAGCCACACUGGGACUGAGACACGGCCCUGACUCCUACGGGAGGCAGCAGUGGGGAAUAUUGGACAAUGGGCGAAAGCCUGAUCCAGCAAUGACGCGUGAGUGAUGAAGGCAUUAGGGUUGUAAAGCUCUUUUAACCGGGAUGAUAAUGACAGUACCGGGAGAAUAAGCUCCGGCUAACUCCGUG